AAUUAGGCAUCGUUCGGCUUACUGUACUUCUAUCUUCAGCGUUCGAAGCAUAAGCUUUUGGGAAACUCUCUGCGCCUCUUUCAUUUUCUUCAAUAUACGGUUUCUUCCAUCUCCCUGAAACGCUCUCUUUUUUCUCUCACAAAUCAAGGCUUCCUCAAAAUUUCUAUCAAAAUCUGGUAAAUUUUCAUAUAUAUAUUUUUUCCAUCUCAAAUCUAUGAUUUUUGCCUUGAAUCGCUGUUUUGUGUGUGUUUUUUCCUUCUUGUUUGAAAUUUCUACUUCUCUUUGGAUGUUCUUCUUCAAAACUGUGAUCGACCAGUUUGAGUUUUGGAUCUCAAAUUUGGGAACGUGCGAUCUGGAUUGCAGUUCCGUUUGGGGGUGGUUGAGUUUUGAACGAUCAUGGUUACACGGCUUUAAUUGAGCUCGUAUGCUGUGGAUUGAAGCAUGAACCUUAAUGUUGAAACUUGGAAUUGCAAGCCAGUGAGCUUAAUAGGCUCAGUUUGAGGAAUUUAUGGAUGUUGAUUGGGAGAUUCUUAAGUCCUUUACCAUUAGCUUGAUGCAGAUUGUGUAAAAGGAAGCACCGAUAAUGGAGUUUGCCUGAGGUGUUAUAUCUUUUUCAAGAGUUGACAGUUGCACUUUUGCAGAGGUUUUGUUUGUCUUCAGGGUAGGCCUCGCUGAGACCUUGAUUUUAGAAUGGUUCUACACUAAAUAGGCUUGUAACUGGCUGAACUUAGGUGUGCACACUAGCUUGAGUUCUAUCAAUGAAUUCAAGAUUGGGUCAGUUUCAUUUUUCUAUGCUCGCUUGGUUAGGCAUAUGAAUGACAUUACUGAAAAUACCAUUUAUCUCCUUUGUAGAAAGUUGUGGACUUACAAUGGUAAUUGAUCAUUCAUUUUUCUUGCAAACUGAAUUAUGAUAUGUUAGAUUAGCUUUUAAGUUACUAAAUUAUUGCAAUUCUUUUGGAGUCCUAAUUUCAGAAGUUUUCAUGUAAAAAACAGAAAACUGGAAGAGACGUACAAUAUUUGGGGAAGGGCAUUGACAGAUUGGUUGGGAUGAAAGAACUCGUUUUCUAGAAUUAUACCUGAUAUGAACCUAUGAUCAACAUUUAUUAUUUUUUUUCCUCUUAUCAUGCAUUCAUACUUAUGUUUUAGACUAUUAUUGUUUGUAAUCUCACAUGAUCAGAGGAAUACAUCUUGUUGUUCUUCGCUUUGCUUUAUUUUUACUUUCAACUUUAGGAUCUACAAACCUUCAUUUGGCUAUGUUAUGCAGGAAGAUAUUUCUUGUGAUCCAUUGGAGGAUUUCCAAACAUAUAUUCCUUUAUUGUUUAUCUAUCAUUGCUAUACUAUAUGGACUGAGGUGCACAUUUCAUGGGAGGAGUGGAGGAUGAUGAACCAGCCUCAAAACGCAUGAAAUUAGCUUCUGGAGAGUUGAGAGGUCUUUCCAACGGUUCUUCUUUAGCAGAGACAACUGUUGAGUCUUCAAGGGACUUGAUGGCUCGGCCCCUGCAAUCUGAAGGGGACGAUGAUGUUGUUGGCUCAAAAGGAGUUAUUAAAAGAGUUGAAUUUGUCAGAAUAAUAGCCAAGGCAUUAUAUUCUCUUGGAUAUAAGAAGAGCAGUGCUCAUCUAGAGGAAGAGUCAGGCAUCCCUUUACAGUCAUCUGCAGUAAAUUUAUUUAUGCAGCAAAUUCUUGAUGGCAGUUGGGAUGAAAGUGUAGCUACUUUGCAUGACAUUGGUCUAAAAGAUGAAGACAUUGUUAAGUCAGCCUCUUUUCUGAUAUUGGAACAGAAAUUUUUUGAGCUUUUGGAUGGGGAGAGAAUCAUGGAUGCUUUAAAGACAUUGAGGACUGAGAUUGCUCCUCUUUGUGUCAAUAAUGGUAGAAUCCGUGAGCUUUCUUCCUGUAUUGUUUCUCCUUCAUUGUGUGCUUCAGUUGGGUCUUCUAAUCAAGAUAAUGCAAAGAUGAAGUCUCGGUCAAAGCUGCUGGAGGAAUUGCAAAAAUUGCUCCCACCAACAGUUAUAAUACCUGAAAGGAGGUUGGAAUAUUUAGUUGAACAGGCUCUUACCUUGCAAAGAGAUGCUUGCAUAUUUCACAACUCCAUGGACAAAGAAAUGUCAUUGUACACAGAUCAUCACUGUGGAAGAGAUCAGAUUCCAUCUCGAACUUUGCAGAUAUUAGAGGCACAUUCUGAUGAAGUGUGGUUCUUACAAUUUUCACACAAUGGGAAAUACUUAGCUUCAUCGUCCAGUGAUCAAUCAGCAAUCAUAUGGGAGGUUGAUACAAAUGGAGUUUCUUUAAAGCAUCGAUUAUGUGGUCAUCAAAAACAUGUAUCCUCUGUUUCCUGGAGUCCUGAUGACCAUCAGCUUCUCACUUGUGGGAUGGAGGAGGCUAUAAGGCGCUGGGAUGUUUCUUCUGGUGAAUGCCUCCAUGUCUAUGACAAAGCUGGUCUUGGCCUCAUUUCCUGUGGAUGGUUUCCAAAUGGGAAAUGGAUAUUAUCUGGCAUUAAUGAUAAGAGUAUCUGCAUGUGGGAUUUGAAUGGAAAAGAGCUAGAGUGUUGGAAAGGGCAACGGACUAUGAAGAUAUCUGAUUUAGAAAUAACAAGUGAUGGGAAGCAGAUCAUAAGCAUGUGCAGAGAAACUGCCAUCCUGUUACAUGAUAGGGAAGCGAAAAUUGAGAGAGUGAUAGAGGAGGAUCAAACAAUAACUUCAUUCUCAUUAUCGAGAGAUGAUAGGUUCUUGCUGGUUAAUCUUCUGAACCAGGAAAUCCACCUUUGGAACAUAGAAGGUGGCAUCAAGCUUGUAGCCAAAUAUAAAGGUCACAAACGUGCCCGCUUUGUUAUUAGGUCUUGUUUUGGGGGACUGGAACAGGCUUUUAUUGCCAGUGGCAGUGAAGACUCACAGGUAUAUAUAUGGCACAGAGGGUCCAGAGAGCUCAUAGAGGCAUUGCCUGGUCAUUCUGGGGCUGUUAAUUGUGUGAGCUGGAAUCCAAAAAAUCCACAUAUCCUGGCAUCAGCUAGCGACGAUCAUACAAUUCGAAUAUGGGGCUUGAAUUGUCUACAAAUGAAACACAAGGGUGCUCACAGUCACAGCAAUGGCAUCCACUACUGCAAUGGGAGAACUUGAAACGAAACUGAGCAUAAAAUCUGAAGAUAAAUUCUUCUUGACCAUUGCUAUUGUGUAUACACUGUUUUCAUUGCCGGAAGACAAUUCAUUCCAAACAAAAAUAUGAAUCAUGCAGCAACUUUCUUAUAAUAAAUUUACUAUCA
Molecule: unclassified non-coding RNA, 3254 nt
Filed under: Hevea brasiliensis (rubber tree)
Lineage: Eukaryota; Viridiplantae; Streptophyta; Magnoliopsida; Malpighiales; Euphorbiaceae
Source: RNAcentral